RNAcentral lists this non-coding RNA (31 nucleotides) under Rattus norvegicus (Norway rat). Lineage: Eukaryota; Metazoa; Chordata; Mammalia; Rodentia; Muridae. The record is from RNAcentral.
UCCUUUUGACUUAAGUUACAAGCAUGUGUGU